This 411-nucleotide ribosomal RNA is filed under the name Aporrectodea trapezoides. Its description in RNAcentral is "partial 12S ribosomal RNA". It matches the Rfam family "Bacterial small subunit ribosomal RNA", at positions 875 to 1492 of the family's 1533-position model. The record is from RNAcentral. Lineage: Eukaryota; Metazoa; Annelida; Clitellata; Crassiclitellata; Lumbricidae.
AUUAGAUACCCGUCUAUUCAUGGAAUAAAUAAAGUCGAAAAAUACGAACUACAGUUUAAAACUUAAAGAUUUUGGCGGUGUCUCAUCGAACCAGGGGAACCUGUCUCAUAACUCGAUAAUCCACGAAAAUCUUACCCUCUCUAGAUCAACCAGCUUGUGUACUGCCGUCGUAAGCACACCUCUAAAAGUACGAGUAUGCAACUAUGUCAAACUCAUAUACGUCAGGUCAAAGUGCAGCUAAUGAAAGGGGCGACGAUGGGUUACACCCUAAAUAAAGAUACGAAAUAUGGCACCAAAAGCCACAUGAAGGUGGACUUGGACGUAACAAAAAUACAAAAUUAAAAUGAAAACGAAUCUGAGACAUGCACACAUCGCCCGUCACUCUUGCCCAAAGGUGAGAUAAGUCGUAAC